AUGCUUGCUGUCCUCAUCUUGUUGCUGGGGAUGCGUUUUUUCCUUGGACACAUCCAAGCACAGUCAGUGUCCCAGGAUGAUGCCCAUGUCACCGUCUUCGAAGGAGGCUCAGUGGAGCUCAGAUGCAACUAUUCCUAUGGUGGAACUACUUACCUCUUCUGGUACAUGCAGCGCCAUGGUCACAGCCUUCAGUUGCUCCUCAAGUAUUAUUCCAGAGAACCCAUGGUUCAUGGCUUGAGUGGCUUUGAGGCUGAGUUUAGCAAGAGCGACUCUUCCUUCCACCUGAAGAAAGCCUCUGUGAACCUGAGCGACUCGUCUGUGUACUUUAGUGCUCUGGGUGCACAGUGUCUGGGGCUGCAGGGGGAGCUGAACACAAACCUGUAA
Molecule: non-coding RNA, 384 nt
Organism: Mesocricetus auratus (golden hamster)
Lineage: Eukaryota; Metazoa; Chordata; Mammalia; Rodentia; Cricetidae
Source: the annotation of a RefSeq genome assembly